GUAGGGGGCAAGCGUUGUCCGGAAUUAUUGGGCGUAAAGCGCGCGCAGGCGGUCUCUUAAGUCCGAUGUGAAAGCCCACGGCUCAACCGUGGAGGGUCAUUGGAAACUGGGGGACUUGAGUGUAGGAGAGGAAAGUGGAAUUCCACGUGUAGCGGUGAAAUGCGUAGAUAUGUGGAGGAACACCAGUGGCGAAGGCGACUUUCUGGCCUACAACUGACGCUGAGGUGCGAAAGCGUGGGGAGCAAACAGGGAUUAGAUACCCUGGUAGUCCACGCCGUAAACGAUGAGUGCUAGGUGUUAGGGGUUUCGAUGCCCCUUAGUGCCGAAGUUAACACAUUAAGCACUCCGCCUGGGGAGUACGACCGCAAGGUUAG
Molecule: ribosomal RNA, 374 nt
Filed under: uncultured organism
Description: partial 16S ribosomal RNA
Rfam family: Bacterial small subunit ribosomal RNA
Source: RNAcentral